AUUUGACACGGCCCUACGGUAGCAAGUCUUGCUCCAACAUUUGGCCGCGGCGCGAUGAC
Regulatory RNA element from Photobacterium damselae subsp. damselae CIP 102761, 59 nucleotides. It matches the Rfam family "Selenocysteine insertion sequence 3". The record is from Rfam. Lineage: Bacteria; Pseudomonadati; Pseudomonadota; Gammaproteobacteria; Vibrionales; Vibrionaceae.